AAUGGGUCAGCGACUUAUAUUCUGUAGCAAGGUUAACCGAAUAGGGGAGCCGAAGGGAAACCGAGUCUUAACUGGGCGUUAAGUUGCAGGGUAUAGACCCGAAACCCGGUGAUCUAGCCAUGGGCAGGUUGAAGGUUGGGUAACACUAACUGGAGGACCGAACCGACUAAUGUUGAAAAAUUAGCGGAUGACUUGUGGCUGGGGGUGAAAGGCCAAUCAAACCGGGAGAUAGCUGGUUCUCCCCGAAAGCUAUUUAGGUAGCGCCUCGUGAAUUCAUCUCCGGGGGUAGAGCACUGUUUCGGCAAGGGGGUCAUCCCGACUUACCAACCCGAUGCAAACUGCGAAUACCGGAGAAUGUUAUCACGGGAGACACACGGCGGGUGCUAACGUCCGUCGUGAAGAGGGAAACAACCCAGACCGCCAGCUAAGGUCCCAAAGUCAUGGUUAAGUGGGAAACGAUGUGGGAAGGCCCAGACAGCCAGGAUGUUGGCUUAGAAGCAGCCAUCAUUUAAAGAAAGCGUAAUAGCUCACUGGUCGAGUCGGCCUGCGCGGAAGAUGUAACGGGGCUAAACCAUGCACCGAAGCUGCGGCAGCGACACUGUGUGUUGUUGGGUAGGGGAGCGUUCUGUAAGCCUGUGAAGGUGUACUGUGAGGUAUGCUGGAGGUAUCAGAAGUGCGAAUGCUGACAUAAGUAACGAUAAAGCGGGUGAAAAGCCCGCUCGCCGGAAGACCAAGGGUUCCUGUCCAACGUUAAUCGGGGCAGGGUGAGUCGACCCCUAAGGCGAGGCCGAAAGGCGUAGUCGAUGGGAAACAGGUUAAUAUUCCUGUACUUGGUGUUACUGCGAAGGGGGGACGGAGAAGGCUAUGUUGGCCGGGCGACGGUUGUCCCGGUUUAAGCGUGUAGGCUGGUUUUCCAGGCAAAUCCGGAAAAUCAAGGCUGAGGCGUGAUGACGAGGCACUACGGUGCUGAAGCAACAAAUGCCCUGCUUCCAGGAAAAGCCUCUAAGCAUCAGGUAACAUCAAAUCGUACCCCAAACCGACACAGGUGGUCAGGUAGAGAAUACCAAGGCGCUUGAGAGAACUCGGGUGAAGGAACUAGGCAAAAUGGUGCCGUAACUUCGGGAGAAGGCACGCUGAUAUGUAGGUGAAGUCCCUCGCGGAUGGAGCUGAAAUCAGUCGAAGAUACCAGCUGGCUGCAACUGUUUAUUAAAAACACAGCACUGUGCAAACACGAAAGUGGACGUAUACGGUGUGACGCCUGCCCGGUGCCGGAAGGUUAAUUGAUGGGGUCAGCGCAAGCGAAGCUCUUGAUCGAAGCCCCGGUAAACGGCGGCCGUAACUAUAACGGUCCUAAGGUAGCGAAAUUCCUUGUCGGGUAAGUUCCGACCUGCACGAAUGGCGUAAUGAUGGCCAGGCUGUCUCCACCCGAGACUCAGUGAAAUUGAACUCGCUGUGAAGAUGCAGUGUACCCGCGGCAAGACGGAAAGACCCCGUGAACCUUUACUAUAGCUUGACACUGAACAUUGAGCCUUGAUGUGUAGGAUAGGUGGGAGGCUUUGAAGUGUGGACGCCAGUCUGCAUGGAGCCGACCUUGAAAUACCACCCUUUAAUGUUUGAUGUUCUAACGU
Molecule: ribosomal RNA, 1628 nt
Filed under: Escherichia coli
Lineage: Bacteria; Pseudomonadati; Pseudomonadota; Gammaproteobacteria; Enterobacterales; Enterobacteriaceae
Description: partial 23S ribosomal RNA
Rfam family: Bacterial large subunit ribosomal RNA
Source: RNAcentral